AGCUGUUCCCCUCUGGAGGUUUGAAACCUUCACAACUGAAAGGGCCCAAGUUUCUUGUGGCCCUCUUUUUUUGUCGGC
Molecule: non-coding RNA, 78 nt
Filed under: Ensifer meliloti
Lineage: Bacteria; Pseudomonadati; Pseudomonadota; Alphaproteobacteria; Hyphomicrobiales; Rhizobiaceae
Also listed under: 4 other names
Description: Sinorhizobium meliloti suhB
Rfam family: Alphaproteobacterial ar15 (bases 1-69)
Source: RNAcentral